RNAcentral lists this ribosomal RNA (490 nucleotides) under uncultured archaeon. RNAcentral's name for it is "bacterial SSU rRNA". It matches the Rfam family "Archaeal small subunit ribosomal RNA", at positions 163 to 656 of the family's 1478-position model. The record is from RNAcentral.
AAGAUUUCUGGAAUGAUUCUUGGUCAAAAUCUAUAUGGCCUCUGGAUUGGACUGCGGCCGAUCAGGCUGUUGGUGAGGUAAUGGCCCACCAAACCUAUAACCGGUACGGGCUCUGAGAGGAGAAGCCCGGAGAUGGGCACUGAGACAAGGGCCCAGGCCCUAUGGGGCGCAGCAGGCGCGAAACCUUUGCAAUAGGCGAAAGCCUGACAAGGUUACUCUGAGUGAUUUCCGCUAAGGGGAUCUUUUGACACCUCUAAAAAUGGUGUAGAAUAAGGGGUGGGCAAGUCUGGUGUCAGCCGCCGCGGUAAUACCAGCACCCCGAGUGGUCGGGACGAUUAUUGGGCCUAAAGCAUCCGUAGCCGGUUUUACAAGUCUUCCGUUAAAUCCAGCCGCUCAACGGAUGGGCUGCGGAGGAUACUGUAGAACUAGGAGGCGGGAGAGGCAAGCGGUACUUAGUGGGUAGGGGUAAAAUCCACUGAUCCAUUGAAGA